AGCAGCCGCGGUAAUUCCAGCUCCAAUAGCGUAUAUUAAAGUUGUUGCAGUUAAAAAGCUCGUAGUUGAAUUUCGGGAUCAAUAUGUCGGUCGUGCCUUGGUACGUACUGGUAUCAUUGGUCUCUCCUUUCUGACGAACCAUGAUGUCAUUAAUUUGGUGUUAUGGGAAGUUAGGACUGUUACUUUGAAAAAAUUAGAGUGUUUAAAGCAGGCUUUAGCUUGAAUACAUUAGCAUGGAAUAAUGAAAUAGGACGUUCGAACCUAUUUUGUUGGUUUCUAGGAUCAACGUAAUGACUAAUAGGGAUAGUUGGGGGCAUUAGUAUUCAAUUGUCAGAGGUGAAAUUCUUGGAUUUAUUGAAGACUAACUACUGCGAAAGCAUUUGCCAAGGAUGUUUUCAUUAAUCAAGAACGAAAGUUAGGGGAUCGAAGACGAUCAGAUACCGUCGUAGUCUUAACCAUAAACUAUGCCGACUAGGGAUCGGAUGAUGUUAAUUUUUUAAUGACUCAUUCGGCGCCUUAC
Molecule: unclassified non-coding RNA, 520 nt
Filed under: uncultured Glomus
Lineage: Eukaryota; Fungi; Glomeromycota; Glomeromycetes; Glomerales; Glomeraceae
Description: SSU rRNA
Rfam family: Eukaryotic small subunit ribosomal RNA
Source: RNAcentral